Molecule: non-coding RNA, 28 nt
Filed under: Rattus norvegicus (Norway rat)
Lineage: Eukaryota; Metazoa; Chordata; Mammalia; Rodentia; Muridae
Source: RNAcentral
UGGCUCCAUGUGCUCAGGGUUCACACAC